UUCCCGGUGUAGCGGUGAAAUGCGUAGAGAUCGGGAGGAAUACCAGUGGCGAAGGCGGCCUUCUGGACUGACACUGACGCUGAGGUGCGAAAGCGUGGGUAGCAAACAGGAUUAGAUACCCUGGUAGUCCACGCCGUAAACGAUGUCGACUAGCCGUUGGGGUCCUCGAGACCUUUGUGGCGCAGUUAACGCGAUAAGUCGACCGCCUGGGGAGUACGGCCGCAAGGUUAAAACUCAAAUGAAUUGACGGGGGCCCGCACAAGCGGUGGAGCAUGUGGUUUAAUUCGAUGCAACGCGAAGAACCUUACCUACUCUUGACAUCGAGCGAACUUUCCAGAGAUGGAUGGGUGCCUUCGGGAACGCUCAGACAGGUGCUGCAUGGCCGUCGUCAGCUCGUGUUGUGAAAUGUUGGGUUAAGUCCCGUAACGAGCGCAACCCUUGUCCCUAUUUGCCAGCGAUUCGGUCGGGAACUCUAGGGAGACUGCCGGUGACAAACCGGAGGAAGGUGGGGACGACGUCAGGUCAUCAUGGCCCUUACGAGUAGGGCUACACACGUGCUACAAUGGCCGGUACAAUGGGCUGCAAUCCCGCGAGGGGGAGCUAAUCUCAUAAAGCCGGUCUCAGUCCGGAUCGGAGUCUGCAACUCGACUCCGUGAAGUCGGAAUCGCUAGUAAUCGUGAAUCAGAAUGUCACGGUGAAUACGUUCCCGGGCCUUGUACACACCGCCCGUCACACCAUGGGAGUGGACUGCACCAGAA
This 758-nucleotide ribosomal RNA is filed under the name Halomonas sp. JSM 111100. Its description in RNAcentral is "bacterial SSU rRNA". It matches the Rfam family "Bacterial small subunit ribosomal RNA", at positions 667 to 1425 of the family's 1533-position model. The record is from RNAcentral. Lineage: Bacteria; Pseudomonadati; Pseudomonadota; Gammaproteobacteria; Oceanospirillales; Halomonadaceae.